GGCUCCAGUCUCUGGUCGUCCGCCUAAACUGACUAAAUGAGUUUUGUCAGCGGAGCUUGUCAGCGAAUGACUUUUUCAUCGCCGGAAUAUCGCUGAACGACCUCGCUGAACAAGAUAGACUCUGCCUUCUCUUCGUUGUGUCGGAGCCAUUCCUGUAUUUAGUCGCUAGUCAUCCUUCGAAAGUCCGCCAUGUUGUUUGUAGCAUCUUACGCAUGUGCAGUACUUGACCCCUGUGUUUCCGUCAGGUGACAAUCGACUGAUUCGUAUAUGAAUUUGGUUAAAAUUGAAAACAAUAUGGUAGACGUUACAGAAACUAAGUUACGAUGGAAGAAGUCUGAAAAAUAUCGCCGGAAACGACGUAAACAAUCACGGACGAAAGGAGAUCAAGAAAUUAAAGAGGAUCGUUACAGAAAUCUUAGGUUAAUGCAAACUGAACUUAGUGUGGAAGAGGUUUUUACAAAACUGGACUCUUAAGGCUUUCAAUGGACGAUGCUGGAAGUAUUUCAAACCACAAUGACAUCUGCAGCAUCCAGUUAGGAUUAAUUCAAGUCAUUUUAAAUUAAAUCUUAUCCCAUGUA
Molecule: long non-coding RNA, 578 nt
Organism: Pocillopora verrucosa
Lineage: Eukaryota; Metazoa; Cnidaria; Anthozoa; Scleractinia; Pocilloporidae
Source: RefSeq, a predicted model, not a curated record